AACCCCUGCAUUCAGUUGCCAUCGGGUAAUGCCGGGCACUCUGGAAGGACUGCCAUCGACAAGAUGGAGGAAGUGGGGAUGACGUCAAGUCAUCAUGGCCCUUAUGUCCAGGGCGACACACGUGCUACAAUGGCCGGCACAACGGGAAGCGAGUUCGCGAGGACGAGCGGAUCCCUCAAAGCCGGUCGCAGUUCGGAUUGAAGUCUGCAACUCGACUUCAUGAAGCUGGAAUCGCUAGUAAUCGUGGAUCAGCCAAGCCGCGGUGAAUACGUUCCCGGGCCUU
Molecule: ribosomal RNA, 283 nt
Filed under: uncultured Synergistaceae bacterium
Lineage: Bacteria; Thermotogati; Synergistota; Synergistia; Synergistales; Synergistaceae
Description: partial 16S ribosomal RNA
Rfam family: Bacterial small subunit ribosomal RNA
Source: RNAcentral